RNAcentral lists this unclassified non-coding RNA (226 nucleotides) under uncultured Solirubrobacterales bacterium. RNAcentral's name for it is "contains 16S-23S intergenic spacer region". The record is from RNAcentral. Lineage: Bacteria; Bacillati; Actinomycetota; Thermoleophilia; Solirubrobacterales.
UCCGAGUUGACCCCGGCGGUCACCUACAUGUCAAACCCAGGUAAGGUUCUUCGCGUUGCGUCGAAUUAAACCACAUGCUCCGCUGCUUGUGCGGGCCCCCGUCAAUUCCUUUGAGUUUUAGCCUUGCGGCCGUACUCCCCAGGCGGGGCACUUAGUGCGUUAGCGACGGCACGGGAGGAGUCGACACCUCCCACACCUAGUGCCCAUCGUUUACGGCGUGGACUAC